CCAGCAGCUGCGGUAAUUCCAGCUCCAAUAGCGUAUAUUAAAGUUGCUGCAGUUAAAAAGCUCGUAGUUGGACUUUUGGGGGACCAUGGCUUCUUCCGGUCUGCCGCAAGGCAGUACUGGGCCAACACGGGUCCCCCGAAUCCUUCCGAAGACCACGGGUUCCCUUCACCGGGAGCUCGAUCAUGGGAUUCGGAACGUUUACUUUGAAAAAAUUAGAGUGUUCAAAGCCGGCCAUGUUGCGCUUGAAUACAUUAGCAUGGAAUAAUGGAAUAGGACUUUGGUCUUAUUUUGUUGGUUUGCGAGACCGAAGUAAUGAUUAAUAGGGACAGUUGGGGGCAUUAGUAUUUAAUUGUCAGAGGUGAAAUUCUUGGAUUUAUGAAAGACUAACUUCUGCGAAAGCAUUUGCCAAGGAUGUUUUCAUUAAUCAAGAACGAAAGU
This 438-nucleotide ribosomal RNA is filed under the name uncultured eukaryote. RNAcentral's name for it is "SSU rRNA". It matches the Rfam family "Eukaryotic small subunit ribosomal RNA", at positions 567 to 990 of the family's 1831-position model. The record is from RNAcentral.